RNAcentral lists this ribosomal RNA (433 nucleotides) under uncultured bacterium. Its description in RNAcentral is "partial 16S ribosomal RNA". It matches the Rfam family "Bacterial small subunit ribosomal RNA", at positions 29 to 507 of the family's 1533-position model. The record is from RNAcentral.
AACGAACGCUGGCGGCAUGCCUAACACAUGCAAGUCGAACGACACCUUCGUGUCUGCUUGCGCACGCGUGCGUCACGCGUGGGAACCUUCCCUUAGUUUCCGAAUUACUCCCUUACAUGGGUGCUAAUACCGGGUAAUGUCUUCUGACCAAAGAUUGAUCGACUUUGGAUGGGCCCGCGUUGUUUUAGCUUGUUGGUAGGGUAAAAGCCUACGAAGGCGACGAUACAUAGCUGGUCUGAGAGGAUGAUCAGCCACACUGGGACUGAGACACGGUCGAGAAUACUAGGGAAGGGAGGAGAGGGGAAUAUUGGACAAGGGGGGAGAGGAUGAACAAGCAAGGGUGGGUAAGUGAUGAAGGCGGUAGGGAAGUAAAGCUGGUUUACACGGGAUGAUAAUGACAGUACCGGGAGAAUAAGCACCGGCUAACUACGUG